CCUACGUGUGGCAGCAGUGAGGAAUAUUGGUCAAUGGACGAGAGUCUGAACCAGCCAAGUAGCGUGAAGGCUGACUGCCCUCUGGGUUGUAAACUUCUUUUAUAUGGGCAUAAAACAUGGCAUGCAUACCCUCUUGUAUGUACCAUAUGAAUAAGGAUCGGCUAACUACGUUCCCGCAGCCGCGGUAAUCCGGAGGAUCCGAGCGUUAUCCGGAUUUAUUGGGUUUAAAGGGAGCGUAGGUGGAUUGUUAAGUCAGUUGUGAUAGUUUGCGGCUAAACCGUAAAAUUGCAAUUGAUACUGGCAGUCUAGAGUACAGUAGAGGUAGGCGGAAUUCGUGGUGUAGCGGUGAAAUGCUUAGAUAUCACGAAGAACUCCGAUGGCGAAGGCAGCUCACUGGACUGUAACUGACGCUGAGGCUCGAAAGUGUGGGGAUCAAACAGGAUUAGAUACCCUUGUAGUC
RNAcentral lists this ribosomal RNA (460 nucleotides) under uncultured bacterium. RNAcentral describes it as "partial 16S ribosomal RNA". It matches the Rfam family "Bacterial small subunit ribosomal RNA", at positions 338 to 795 of the family's 1533-position model. The record is from RNAcentral.